Molecule: long non-coding RNA, 2966 nt
Organism: Gasterosteus aculeatus aculeatus (three-spined stickleback)
Lineage: Eukaryota; Metazoa; Chordata; Actinopteri; Perciformes; Gasterosteidae
Source: Ensembl
AUAAUAUAUUUCUAUAUAUAUGUAGUCAGAUUCUGAGAACACAUUUCUGAUUCUGAUUCUAUGUUGCGCAUUAACUCGAUGCGUCACGCGAACCUGCAUUUUAUCAGUGCCAAAGCAUGGGAGGAGUGACUCAUUGACACUAUUUAAGGCCCUGAAUAUUUGUUGGCUCCUCAGUUAUCACUCUCUCAGCAGCAUGCAGAUGAUCCAAACAGGCUUCGGGAUGCUCACACCUCUGGCUUUUGGCUUGGUUUAUCUGAUUUGCAGCCUCACCGCUGUCCGUGCUGAGGCUGGCAAGGGAACAUCUGUAGCCUCUUCAGGGGACAGCAACCGAACAACCGGUAUGGAAAUACAGCGUCACAACAACACAGCUGUGUGCUGUGAGAAUCAACUCUAUCCAGUGGCAGAGCUCUCAUAUUGUGGAGAGAAGGCUUUCAACCCAGAAGAAGCCACUUGUUGCCCAUAUGAAAAUGGAAGCACCAUAACAGAGGGCCUUAGUGAAAAGGUGUCAGCUUGCUGUGGACUGAAGGCAUACGACCAGCUCAAUCAAAUAUGCUGUCACGGAACCAUCCUAGUCAAACCUGGGCCAAACGCCCAAUGUUGUGAUAAAAAGGCUUUUGAUGUCGACGAGCAGAUGUGUUGUGGACCGCUGACCAAUAAGACAAUCCUAACAAAAGAAUCCUCAGACCACCGAUGCUGUGGACAAAACAGUUUUAACCCAACGACUCAAUGCUGCUGUUCGAUAAAUGAAAGUCUAAGCAUAUGGUCCAAGGAUUCCAGCUGCUGCGAGAAGGCUGACUGUGGACAGAACACCUACAACACAAGCGACAAACUAUGCUGUCAAUCAACGGUUGUUAGCAAAAAUGUAUCAAAUGCCCAAUGCUGUGGUAAACAGGCGUUUAAUAACGACACACAAUUGUGUUGUGGUCCUUCUGAUGACAAGAUAAUCCUGGAGAGAAUCUCUAUUGACCACCUCUGUUGUGGACGUAACCGGUUCGACACCAACAAGGAGUGCUGCUGUUUGACAAAGGAAGGUCUUCAGAUACAACAGAUCAAUUCCAGCUGCCGUCGGGAUCAGGGUCAAUCUUCUGAUGCCACUGCUGUGUUUAACCCACACAUAGGUGUCUGCUGUGGACGCUGUGUGUCUGAUUGGAACCCUUCGACAGAUCAACUUCAUGGCCCGCCUGGACAACAUAGCUGCAGGACGAAAGUUUAUCGGCCUCACGCGGGGAUCAUUUGCGAUGGACCAAGGACUCCUCACUUCUGUGGGUCAAAAGCCUACGACAUUAAAGACCCAGGAAUGAAGUGCUGCGCAGGAACAUUGCACAACCUCACUCAAGUACCAGAGGCGCAGUGCUGUGGCUCCAUCCUGCAAAACAAACCGAACGUAUGCUGUUUGAGUGAGCACAUGGAGGUGCUCUACUCCAACAAGACGAAAUUUGAAUGCUGUGGUCACCUCUACUACAACACCUCCCUAUGGUCAUGCUGUGCAGGGACGCUGAGCGCUGUGCCUCCACGAGGACAGCAUCCGAAAUCCAUACUUCGAUCUUUGGGCAAUUUGAAUGAGACGGAUCUUUGUGGCAAACUGCAAGUCGGGAUUGUGGAAAGGGACGGCCUGAAUGGGAUCGUAUUCAACAGUGUGUUGAUAAUCCAUGGAAGGAAUGGCAGUGUGAUACCCAGGAGCGGGCUUCACACCCUGAGUACAGGAACCGAUGGCUGCAGCAACGCAAAACUGGUCCCUGGGAAGAGCUACUUCUUUGAUGACGUUAAAGUAAAUGUCUUCACAGAUCUCAACCACGACUCUAUUCUCCAGUCCAUCUAUUUCAUUAUUUCUAAGUGUCAUACGAAUAUAUAAGAUUAUAGACUUUAUGUUCAGGGUCGGACGAUUUACUAACUAAUCUAACAUGCAGCUAAUUUAUAGAUGUUGAGUUUUGGAUUAACACCAUUUGUUAAAAAACAACUGUGGAGUUAUCAAAAGCAAUAUUCCUUGUCUCUUAGCAGAGGACAGCCAUUAUCAAUUAUCAGGCUGGAGCUUGUUCACUAAGUCCACAUAUUAGUCUGUUAACUUAUGCACAUCAAUAAAACUACUCUCAAAUUGUGAAGUAGCAGAGCAUCAAAAGAAUUAUUAUAUACAAUGUCCAUGAAGUUCAUGACAGGAUGAUCUAAAUCUUUUGCAUAACUGGUGGUUGCAAUUACCAAUGUUUAGUAAUCACCGCAAGAUGGUGACACUCAUCACGGUGAACUAUUUGUUUUCAAGAUUAAUGUUUGUGUGAUUAAUGUGUCUGUGAUUUUAAUAAGCUAAUAAGCUAAACAGCUAUUAGAACAUGUGUUUUCAUUUUUGGAACAUUAUGCUCUAUUUUGGAUUUUUAAAUUUGCACAAAACUACAUUAAUAGUGAGUCACUCAUGAAAAUGUAUGUUUGAAUAUAAAUGACAGGAUUUGUCACAUUAUGUGUCACAUGUGCUAAACAAAGCUGAAAGACCAAUCACUUAAAUAUUAAGCUGUGGUGCAUUGAAUUUCUAUGGUGCGUUGAAGUUAUAUUUCUUAACAAUAUGUAUGUUACCCAUAGUUCCAUGUUCCUGUAGCUAGGAACAUGGCAUUAGUAUGAAGGUACUUUUCCAACUUUGAGCGUUUUGCCAUCGCCUUAGUGUGGCCUAAAGGAUUCUGGACACUGCUUUUGCAGUGUGUACUGACCGGUAGAGCUCAGGAGGCUUAUUCAUCUUUAACUCUGACUCAAAAUAUAGUUGUUUUAAUGUUCAUUCAUGUACUGUAUUUUUCAUUUUACAAAAACUAUUUUCUAUAUCUUUGUACGUUUAGUUUCUUAGCUGACACAACGGCAGUGUGUUGUCUUGAUGUGGUUCUCUCUUAAUUCAAGCAAACAUGAUUAUGUAUUAUAAUUUUUGUACUUUGAACCACUGUCAUGGUGUUGACAUAGAACAUUGUUUAAAUAACAGUUGUAGCUCUGCUGGA